GUCCCUACGGGGCGCAGCAGUGAGGAAUAUUGGUCAAUGGCCGGGAGGCUGAACCAGCCAAGUCGCGUGAGGGAAGACGGCCCUACGGGUUGUAAACCUCUUUUGUCAGGGAGCAAGGUGCAGGUCGGGACCUGCUGUGAGAGUACCUGAAGAAAAAGCAUCGGCUAACUCCGUGCCAGCAGCCGCGGUAAUACGGAGGAUGCGAGCGUUAUCCGGAUUUAUUGGGUUUAAAGGGAGCGUAGGUGGAUUGUUAAGUCAGUUGUGAAAGUUUGCGGCUCAACCGUAAAAUUGCAGUUGAAACUGGC
Molecule: ribosomal RNA, 305 nt
Filed under: uncultured bacterium
Lineage: Bacteria
Description: bacterial SSU rRNA
Rfam family: Bacterial small subunit ribosomal RNA
Source: RNAcentral